This 302-nucleotide ribosomal RNA is filed under the name uncultured Alicycliphilus sp. Its description in RNAcentral is "bacterial SSU rRNA". It matches the Rfam family "Bacterial small subunit ribosomal RNA", at positions 30 to 334 of the family's 1533-position model. Lineage: Bacteria; Pseudomonadati; Pseudomonadota; Betaproteobacteria; Burkholderiales; Comamonadaceae. The record is from RNAcentral.
AUUGGACGCUGGCGGCAUGCCUUACACAUGCAAGUCGAACGGUAACAGGUCUUCGGAUGCUGACGAGUGGCGAACGGGUGAGUAAUACACCGGAACGUGCCCGAUCGUGGGGGAUAACGGAGCGAAAGCUUUGCUAAUACCGCAUACGAUCUACGGAUGAAAGCGGGGGAUCUUCGGACCUCGCGCGGACGGAGCGGCCGAUGGCAGAUUAGGUAGUUGGUGGGAUAAAAGCUUACCAAGCCGACGAUCUGUAGCUGGUCUGAGAGGAUGAUCAGCCACACUGGGACUGAGACACGGCCCAG